RNAcentral lists this ribosomal RNA (510 nucleotides) under uncultured bacterium. RNAcentral describes it as "partial 16S ribosomal RNA". It matches the Rfam family "Bacterial small subunit ribosomal RNA", at positions 28 to 507 of the family's 1533-position model. The record is from RNAcentral.
GACGAACGCUGGCGGCGUGCUUAACACAUGCAAGUCGAACGAAGAGCGAUGGAAGCUUGCUUCUAUCCAUCUUAGUGGCGAACGGGUGAGUCACGCGUAAUCAACCUGCCCUUCAGAGGGGGACAACAGUGGGAAACGACUGCUAAUACCGCAUACGAUUUAAUCUCGGCGUCGAGUAUAGAUGAACGGUGGUCUCUACAUGUAUGCUAUCACUGAAGGAGGGGAUUGCGGCUGUUUAGCUAGUUGGAGGGGUAAGGGCCCACGAAGGCGAUGGUCAGUAGCCGGGCUGAGGGGAUGAACGGCCACAUUGGGACUGAGACCCGGCCCAGACGCCUACGGGAGGCAGCAGGGGGGAAUCUUCCGGAAUGGACGAAAGUCUGACGGAGCAACGCCGCGUGAGUGAUGACGGCCUUCGGGUUGUAAAGCUCGGUUAAUCGGGACGAAAGGCCUUCUUGCGAAUAGUGAGAAGGAUUGACGGUACCGGAAUAGAAAGCCACGGCUAACUACGUG